Aneurinibacillus migulanus is the source of this 68-nucleotide non-coding RNA. The record is from Rfam. NCBI's taxonomy places the organism in Bacteria, Bacillati, Bacillota, Bacilli, Caryophanales, Paenibacillaceae.
UAAUAAGGAAGUUCUGCUAAAAGCAGGCACGUCCUGUGCCUAACGCAGAACCUAGCGCAUCGUGCGCA